Long non-coding RNA from Elaeis guineensis (African oil palm), 950 nucleotides. RefSeq lists it as uncharacterized. Lineage: Eukaryota; Viridiplantae; Streptophyta; Magnoliopsida; Arecales; Arecaceae. The record is from RefSeq and is a predicted model, not a curated record.
UGGGUAACUCCGCAGUCCAACGCCUCAGGAACGCUCACUGGGCGUCAAAAGCGUGUUCGUUUUGUCUCACGGGCGGCACGACAAAUCUACAAAGCCCUGCCAAGAACCCUAAGAUCUCCUCGUCAGGGUAGGUUUCAAGGAUUUGGAGCCGCCUCAAUAUCUAACUUAGGGUUUGGUAUCCCGGACGGUUUUUCUUUUUCCCUCAAAAAUGGGAUUUUAUGGAAGGAAAGCAUGAUGAUGGUGGUUCUAUUUCAGACACUGGGGCUUGGUCACAGGCUACCUUCUGCAUAGCCGGAUAUCCAACGGUACUUGUGAUGCUGCUACACGAUUGAAAGGUGUGCUGGCUUCUUCGUAGCCCCUUUCAAAUUAAAAUUAUUCGCAUUAGAUUGAUCAAAGCCAUUAGUGAUAUCUUUGAAAGCCAGAUGCAUGUGCAACAAGAGCAGAUAUCUAAAGGUGUUUUCCUGGAUAUAUUUGGAUGGCAAGUAGAUGAAGAAAACUGAAGGGGCAGCACAUAUUCCCUCUCGAUAUGACUCUUGAUCUGUGUAUUGUUCUGCGGUUCUUGGGAGCUGUUUUCAAAAUCCUCAAAUCACCCUUCUAUAACUUGAGCCGCCGACACUUCAUCCAAAUUAUCCAAAUACUCGAGGAGUUAUGCCCAAAGUUCGAACCCGAACCUCUGGCUGGUUGCCUGGUAGAGGAGUUUGUCCAUUGGAACAAGCUCCUAAUUUUUUUUUUUUUUUUUUUUUUAAAUUGAGGAUUUUGCAAGAAAAAUAUGGUCAUUCUUCAAUUUGUGGAUUCAAUAUUGUUUGCCCUUGAUUCUUCCAUACUAGCUCACUAACCUGCAAUGUUAAUCUAGGUUGCACAAGUUUUGAAUUGAAUUUGUGCAACAUUUUAAAUAGCUGAUUUUACAAUAUAGUUACAUGGAUGUUGUGCAAGGCAUUCUUCUUGCUACU